AAAGCAUAAAUUACAAACGGCACUUCAUUCCUUGAAACACAUCUUUCAAAAGACAUCUUCAUUAAGUAGGGAGGAC
Molecule: non-coding RNA, 76 nt
Organism: Pteropus vampyrus (large flying fox)
Lineage: Eukaryota; Metazoa; Chordata; Mammalia; Chiroptera; Pteropodidae
Source: Rfam